GACAGGGGGCCCUAGCGUUGUUCGGAAUCACUGGGCUUAAAGCGCGUGUAGGCGGUCCGGCAAGUGUCUUGUGAAAUCCCCCGUCUCAACCGGGGAACUGCUUGGCAGACUGCCGGACUUGAGGCAGGUAGAGGCGACUGGAACCUUAGGUGGAGCGGUGAAAUGCGUAGAUAUCUAAGGGAACGCCGGUGGCGAAAGCGGGUCGCUGGGCCUGUCCUGACGCUGAGACGCGAAAGCGUAGGGAG
RNAcentral lists this ribosomal RNA (245 nucleotides) under uncultured bacterium. Its description in RNAcentral is "partial 16S ribosomal RNA". It matches the Rfam family "Bacterial small subunit ribosomal RNA", at positions 524 to 768 of the family's 1533-position model. The record is from RNAcentral.